CCUACGGGAUGCAGCAGUGAGGAAUAUUGGUCAAUGGACGAGAGUCUGAACCAGCCAAGUAGCGUGAAGGAUGACUGCCCUAUGGGUUGUAAACUUCUUUUCUAUGGGAAUAAAAUGUUCCACGUGUGGGAUUUUGUAUGUACCAUAUGAAUAAGGAUCGGCUAACUCCGUGCCAGCAGCCGCGGUACUACGGAGGAUCCGAGCGUUAUCCGGAUUUAUUGGGUUUAAAGGGAGCGUAGGUGGAUUGUUAAGUCAGUUGUGAAAGUUUGCGGCUCAACCGUAAAAUUGCAGUUGAAACUGGCAGUCGUGAGUACAGUAGAGGUGGGCGGAAUUCGUGGUGUAGCGGUGAAAUGCUUAGAUAUCACGAAGAACUCCGAUUGCGAAGGCAGCUCACUGGACUGCAACUGACACUGAGGCUCGAAAGUGUGGGUAUCAAACAGGAUUAGAUACCCCUGUAGUC
Molecule: ribosomal RNA, 460 nt
Filed under: uncultured bacterium
Lineage: Bacteria
Description: partial 16S ribosomal RNA
Rfam family: Bacterial small subunit ribosomal RNA
Source: RNAcentral